Molecule: ribosomal RNA, 207 nt
Filed under: uncultured bacterium
Lineage: Bacteria
Description: partial 16S ribosomal RNA
Rfam family: Bacterial small subunit ribosomal RNA
Source: RNAcentral
UGUGUAGGUGGCUACGUAAGUCAGGUGUGAAAGCCCCGGGCUCAACCCGGGAAGUGCAUCUGAUACUGCGUAGCUUGAGUACCGAAGAGGAUAGUGGAAUUCCAGGUGUAGUGGUGAAAUACGUAGAUAUCUGGAGGAACACCGGUGGCGAAGGCGGCUAUCUGGUCGAGUACUGACACUGAGACACGAAAGCAUGGGGAUCAAACA